GACGAACGCUGGCGGCGUGCUUAACACAUGCAAGUCGAACGGAAAGGCCGCUUUGGGGGUACUCGAGUGGCGAACGGGUGAGUAACACGUGAGUAAGCUGCCCUUGACUUCGGGAGAACUUCAGGAAACUGGGGCUAAUACCGGAUAGGAAUCCUUGCUGCAUGGUGGGGGUUGGAAAGCUUCGGCGGUUUUGGAUGGACUCGCGGCUUAUCAGCUUGUUGGUGGGGUAGGGGCUUACCAAGGCUUUGACGGGUAGCUGGCCUGAGAGGGCGACCGGCCACAUUGAGACUGAGAUAGGGCCCAGACCCCUACGGGAGGGAGCAGUGGAGAAUAGUGCACAAUGGGAGGGAGCCAGAUGCAGAAGCGCCGCGUGCGGGAUGACGGUCUUCGGGUUGGAAACCUAUUUCAGCAGGAGCGAAGCUUGUGGUGACGGUACCUGCAGAAGAAGCACCGGCUAACUUCGUG
RNAcentral lists this ribosomal RNA (465 nucleotides) under uncultured bacterium. Its description in RNAcentral is "partial 16S ribosomal RNA". It matches the Rfam family "Bacterial small subunit ribosomal RNA", at positions 28 to 507 of the family's 1533-position model. The record is from RNAcentral.